UGACCAAGUUAAACGGCCGCGGUACUCUAACCGUGCAAAGGUAGCACAAUCAAUUGUUCUUUAAAUGAGGACUAGAAUCAACGGCAUCACGAGGAUCCUACUGUCUCCCCCCUCUAAUCAGUGAAAUUGAUCUCCCCGUGAAGAAGCGGGGAUAUAAAUAUAAGACGAGAAGACCCCAUGGAGCUUUAAACCUACAACACCCAUCUAUUUUAUACCCCUAUAUUUAUAUGACUAUGUUUGUUUGGUUUUAGGUUGGGGUGACCACGGAGUAUAAAACAACCUCCAUGAAGAAAAGACUAAUAAUCUUUAUCAAAGAAAUACAUUUCUAAGAAUUAAUACAUUAACUUUUAAUGAUCCAAUAUUUGAUCAACGAACCAAGUUACCCUGGGGAUAACAGCGCAAUCCACCUUAAGAGCCCCUAUCGACAGGUGGGUUUACGACCUCGAUGUUGGAUCAGGGUGUCACAGUGGUGCAGCAGCUACUAAUGGUUCGUUUGUUCAACGAUUAAAACCCU
Molecule: ribosomal RNA, 514 nt
Filed under: Boophis sibilans
Lineage: Eukaryota; Metazoa; Chordata; Amphibia; Anura; Mantellidae
Description: partial 16S ribosomal RNA
Rfam family: Bacterial large subunit ribosomal RNA
Source: RNAcentral